This 68-nucleotide transfer RNA is filed under the name Marmota monax (woodchuck). RNAcentral describes it as "tRNA.Asp". Lineage: Eukaryota; Metazoa; Chordata; Mammalia; Rodentia; Sciuridae. The record is from RNAcentral.
GGUUUGUGGCUGAGUGGUAGAGCGCUCGUCUAUCACGUGCGAGGACCUGGGUUCGAUCCUCAGCACCA